CACAAAAAAAGCAAUCUACGUUAAUAUUCGUUGCGAGACCGUGUGAGUGACUGAUGCUGGGAACAACGCACUCUACAGCGCACACUUCUGCUGGUUCCUAGCGCUCCCUGCAGGGUGGGAGGCAGGCAGCAGCUCGGCUCCAAGUCAGUCGAGUGGCUGAGAUCGCGCGAGUACGAACUAUUGCGAUCAUGCAAUGUGACGAGCGUCACGCACCCACCCACAUAGGAGGCGGACAGUUCACUGCAUGCACUCCCACCACAGAACAGAAAAUAUUAACGAAAGGAGUAAAUUUGACACCUGCAGUUAAUGCUUCAUUGUCAGUCACAAAACCAGUUCACACUCAAUACCGUCGCAAUUUUCCCAUCAGUAUGUUCAGUUGUGCAACGUUUUCAAUUAGUAUUACGCCACUCCGAAGCAAGGUUUCAACAAUAUCCCACAAACGUGAGUCAUAGCAUGCAAAUACCUAGCGGGGCUGGUAUAGCGGUACCCCUAUCCUAACAGUUCCUUCGUGGUUUUCCUCUGUUCGUCCAGGGAAAUUCCGGGCUAGCACAUCGAUUAGGACACAGACACUUCCCUCCAAAAUCGUGUACAUGUCAUCGUGCCACACGGAAGCAGGCACUGCCCAAGCCAUGAUGUAACAUCUGUCGACUUCCUUCCUUGAGACAUCAGCCAGGCAGUGAGGGUCGAAGUCAGGAUUAUGCAACAUGGCCGUGGCUACGACACGUGAUUACAGUCACGUUGUGUUUGUGCCCGCAGUUAUAGUUUCCAACGAAUGACGUUUUAGAAUAAAAGCCCUAGUAAAAGCGAUUAUAUAACGCGCCUAUGAAGGGCAAACAACGGCUGCAGACGCAUGCGUGCUAGUCGUGGCACGGAACGUGAAGCUGCUGCUACUGCUGCUGCCUUUGUUCACCAUUGUCUGCAUCGAUUCGGCACGAACAGUUAAGGACGUCUUAACUCAGGAUGCCAGCAUUCAGCAGCGAGUGUAUGAAACUGACACGAAUGCUUGAGAGGGGCAAAUUCUGCAGUGCGCACUGAAUCUGAGUGUAACCGUGGCACUGCUUCACAUUCGCGCAACCAGUUUUCCAGUGCAUGAGAGGGCUCAACAUGCCCUUCAGCGGCGUCCUUCAAACCCUACACCAAACUUCCAGGACUAAGAAUCGAUGCUGCUUGUUGUAGGAUUCAUCUCCCGGACACAGGACUAAC
Long non-coding RNA from Cryptotermes secundus, 1203 nucleotides. RefSeq lists it as uncharacterized. The record is from RefSeq and is a predicted model, not a curated record. Lineage: Eukaryota; Metazoa; Arthropoda; Insecta; Blattodea; Kalotermitidae. The transcript has 3 exons.